AUCACGAGCAACAAUGUAUAAAGGCAACUGCUGGGAUACCUGGGUAUUCAUUCAUCCACCAUGAAGGCUGCCUAUCUAAUUCUCCUCGUCUCUGUCCUGCUCAUCGGAGCAGCGUUUGUCGCUGAUGCCCAGUGUAACGGCAUUUGCCACAACGACCUGGAAUGCGCACACUGCCAAAACCUAUGCCCCGUUGGAGGGGAGUGUACCAGACGCCCUGAUGAUGCCGUUGGCGCUUGUGUAUGUCGUCAUUAGUGCUGUAUCCUAGGAAGAGUUGCUGAAUAAGCUGCCACCUUGUACCAAGGGUUAAUAAAUGAUAUAAACAAGAA
Long non-coding RNA from Haliotis rufescens (red abalone), 326 nucleotides. RefSeq lists it as uncharacterized. NCBI's taxonomy places the organism in Eukaryota, Metazoa, Mollusca, Gastropoda, Lepetellida, Haliotidae. The transcript is spliced from 3 exons. The record is from RefSeq and is a predicted model, not a curated record.